This 500-nucleotide ribosomal RNA is filed under the name uncultured Paenibacillus sp. RNAcentral describes it as "partial 16S ribosomal RNA". Lineage: Bacteria; Bacillati; Bacillota; Bacilli; Caryophanales; Paenibacillaceae. The record is from RNAcentral.
CACGUAGUUAGCCGGGGCUUUCUUCUCAGGUACCGUCACCUAAAGAGCAGUUACUCUCUCUAGCGUUCUUCCCUGGCAACAGAGCUUUACGAUCCGAAAACCUUCAUCACUCACGCGGCGUUGCUCCGUCAGACUUUCGUCCAUUGCGGAAGAUUCCCUACUGCUGCCUCCCGUAGGAGUCUGGGCCGUGUCUCAGUCCCAGUGUGGCCGAUCACCCUCUCAGGUCGGCUACGCAUCGUCGCCUUGGUGAGCCGUUACCUCACCAACUAGCUAAUGCGCCGCAGGUCCAUCCAUAAGUGACAGAUUGCUCCGCCUUUCCCAACUCCCUCAUGCGAGAGAAUCGCGUAUCCGGUAUUAGCAUCCGUUUCCGAAUGUUAUCCCGGUCUUAUGGGCAGGUUACCUACGUGUUACUCACCCGUCCGCCGCUAAGCAUCGUGUUUUCCGAAGAAAACACUAGCUCCGCUCGACUUGCAUGUAUUAGGCACGCCGCCAGCGUUCGU